Molecule: ribosomal RNA, 509 nt
Filed under: uncultured bacterium
Lineage: Bacteria
Description: bacterial SSU rRNA
Rfam family: Bacterial small subunit ribosomal RNA
Source: RNAcentral
AUCCUGGCUCAGGAUGAACGCUGGCGGCGUGCCUAAUACAUGCAAGUCGAACGCACAGCGAAAGGUGCUUGCACCUUUCAAGUGAGUGGCGAACGGGUGAGUAACACGUGGAUAACCUACCUCAAGGUUGGGGAUAACAUUUGGAAACAGAUGCUAAUACCGAAUAAAACUUCGUAUCGCAUGAUACAAGGUUAAAAGGCGCUACGGCGUCACCUAGAGAUGGAUCCGCGGUGCAUUAGUUAGUUGGUGGGGUAAAGGCCUACCAAGACAAUGAUGCAUAGCCGAGUUGAGAGACUGAUCGGCCACAUUGGGACUGAGACACGGCCCAAACUCCUACGGGAGGCUGCAGUAGGGAAUCUUCCACAAUGGGCGAAAGCCUGAUGGAGCAACGCCGCGUGUGUGAUGAAGGCUUUCGGGUCGUAAAGCACUGUUGUAUGGGAAGAACAGCUAGAGUAGGGAAUGACUUUAGUUUGACGGUACCAUACCAGAAAGGGACGGCUAAAUACGUG